Molecule: ribosomal RNA, 467 nt
Filed under: uncultured bacterium
Lineage: Bacteria
Description: partial 16S ribosomal RNA
Rfam family: Bacterial small subunit ribosomal RNA
Source: RNAcentral
ACGAACGCUGGCGGCGUGCUUAACACAUGCAAGUCGAACGGAAAGGCCCUGCUUUUGUGGGGUGCUCGAGUGGCGAACGGGUGAGUAACACGUGAGUAACCUGCCCUUGACUUUGGGAUAACUUCAGGAAACUGGGGCUAAUACCGGAUAGGAGCUCCUGCUGCAUGGUGGGGGUUGGAAAGUUUCGGCGGUUGGGGAUGGACUCGCGGCUUAUCAGCUUGUUGGUGGGGUAGUGACUUACCAAGGCUUUGACGGGUAGCCGGCCUGAGAGGGUGACCGGCCACAUUGGGACUGAGAUACGGCCCAGACUCCUACGGGAGGCAGCAGUGGGGAAUAUUGCACAAUGGGCGGAAGCCUGAUGCAGCAACGCCGCGUGCGGGAUGACGGCCUUCGGGUUGUAAACCGCUUUCGCCUGUGACGAAGCGUGAGUGACGGUAAUGGGUAAAGAAGCACCGGCUAACUACGUG